Long non-coding RNA from Pieris brassicae (large cabbage white), 881 nucleotides. RefSeq lists it as uncharacterized. Lineage: Eukaryota; Metazoa; Arthropoda; Insecta; Lepidoptera; Pieridae. The record is from RefSeq and is a predicted model, not a curated record. The transcript is spliced from 2 exons.
UUCAGUCGCUUUAUGAUCUGUAAACGGCAUACCUAGUAUUGUUAUGAUGGUGCAUAACUUUUUUUGGCUAAAAAAAUAUAUAAGUGUAUUGUUAUCAAUAUUUACAAUGCGAUACAUCGAAUACAUCUGAUGCUUUGAAGAGGUAUUGAGGUGACAGUUAUUUAAAAAAAUAUUAAUAUACUCACCUAACCUAACCGAAGAAUAUAUAUAAUAUUAAUAACAGGUUAUUUCGAUAGCUCCGGCGCUGCGGGAAAUGCAGCCCCCACCCGCACCGCAAAGGCAGGCAUAAAAUGCCUGUGCUUUGGAACGCAAGGAUGGAGGGGCUGCUCUUCGUCCGCACCUCCGAUUUUUUUACAUACAUUCUAGGGGUAAGGCAGACAAGACCACGUGGAUAGUGGGGUGCUCUGAUUCGGUUUUGGGUACUAUUUUUUUCGUCAAAUAAGGUCAACACUAGUUAUGGUGCAGAGAACUCAUGACGAAGUCAUAAAAAAAAAUCAGCCUCAAAAUCACUGGUGGCGCGAUACGGAAUAUUAUCCCCAAAAUAUUAGGUAUAUUUUUUUAUUUAUUCACACUUCGUUUCAAUAAAAAUAAAAGAAACAAAUAAGUAACACAGUAUAUAGAUAAACAUUAAAAGGGAUGUAACGGGCGGCCUUAUCUCUAAUAAGCGAUCGAUCGAUCUCUUCCAGGCAACCGUAGUAACAGAAAGUGCAGAACCAAAUGAUUCAUGAACAGCGAAUAGCGAUGCAAUACAAAAGAAAAGGAAACACAGGAAUUACGCAAGCCACGAUUGAUCAUGAUAGGAUAAGAAAUUUUGAGUCCCCUGUUAUACAAUGCAUAUCUUUAUGGCAUAAAUAGUAAGAUUAAAGAUUCUAAUUACCUUA